Molecule: long non-coding RNA, 503 nt
Organism: Ornithorhynchus anatinus (platypus)
Lineage: Eukaryota; Metazoa; Chordata; Mammalia; Monotremata; Ornithorhynchidae
Exons: 2
Source: RefSeq, a predicted model, not a curated record
UGUUGAGAGUUGUUAUCUGUGUGCAGCAGUUGACUGGAAGGAAAGGUUUGGGAGCAGCUGUCCUUUCUAGCCCUUGGCCUGGAACGGGUGGCAAAUUCUGCAGGGGAUCAUUCCGAGGGGAAAAAGAAGAACUGUGAAGAAAAGAUAUUUUCCAAUUUCAACAUUAAAGGCCUGGAACAGGUGGUCUCGUCAGCAGGGGAUCAUUCUGUGCGUGGUAAAAGAACUGUGAAGAAAGGAUACUCAACGUUCAACUUGGGAUCUGUUACCAAAAAGUUGCCAUUUACCUACUGAAACAGAAUGAUGAAUUGUAAACUCUUCCACUGGAUUGUAAUCAGUCAGCUGAUCCAAAACCCAUCUGAAGGGGAGAUUCUACUACCCCUGCAGCAGAUAUUUUAAAUAACUCAGAAGUCUGGGGAAUAGAGUCACUGUAAAUACCUUCCUACCUAUCUCGAAUUCAAUUGUGUGUAAAAUAAAUAACAAGGCCUCAUUUAUCUUAUUAUAAA